Molecule: non-coding RNA, 22 nt
Filed under: Arabidopsis thaliana (thale cress)
Lineage: Eukaryota; Viridiplantae; Streptophyta; Magnoliopsida; Brassicales; Brassicaceae
Source: RNAcentral
UUAUCCCUAGAUUCUUGCGAUA